CACUUCCGGUGCGUUUUACAAUGAACUCCGGGCACUCGAGUCGCUCCCCGGAAACUAUAGUUCUGCUUCCACCGUUGUCCUACUUUGGAUAGCAUCAAGACAAAAAUCUCAGUCUUCGAGGAACUCACAGUGUAGCAGAAAAGACAAAGGAGGUAAACAGGAGGAGCUGAUAGCCAGCAAGAAAACAGGGACUUCAGUUCUGCAACUGCAACCAACAACCGGAGUGAGCUUGGAAGCAGAUUCUUUCCAGAGCAUCUAAAGCAGUGAUCCAUGUUUUCAUUGGACUGUGAAAGAGCUACUUCUACUCUAAGGCCACAUUGCCUACAUGAAAUAAAUUAUUGUUAGGAAAUUGCCUUGAAAAGAGAAACAAGACCACAACUCUUAGAAGAAUUCUGAACUUGAGAUUGACAUAGAUCAGAAAGCCCAGAUGCUGUUGAUCCAUCUCACCAGGCAGCAAGAGUAAGGAUAGAAUAUCUGCCCUCCAAUUUCACAGUUCACUAAGAAAAGACUUCUACACUCCCUGGGCAGAACAAUUCCAUCUACGCGGCAUAGGGUUGCUUCUGGAGGACCUGACCUAAGAUUGGCAUCUUACUCAGUCCAGAAGGUCAGGGAAGACUUCUUGGAAGACAUGCCAUCUAAAACAAUGACUGAUGGAGGAAUGGAAUCAUCCAAGUGUACGGGGAGUGGAUGGAAGACAAGAGCAUUCUAGG
Molecule: long non-coding RNA, 710 nt
Filed under: Homo sapiens (human)
Lineage: Eukaryota; Metazoa; Chordata; Mammalia; Primates; Hominidae
Description: HSALNT0314711
Source: RNAcentral